UACGUAGGGUGCGAGCGUUGUCCGGAAUUAUUGGGCGUAAAGAGCUCGUAGGCGGCCUGUCGCGUCGGAUGUGAAAGCCCGGGGCUUAACCCCGGGUCUGCAUUCGAUACGGGCAGGCUAGAGUGCGGUAGGGGAGACUGGAAUUCCCGGUGUAGUGGUGAAAUGCGUAGAUAUCGGGAGGAACACCAGUGGCGAAGGCGACUAGCUGGCCUGUAACUGACGCUGAGGCGCGAAGGCUAGGGGAGCGAACAGG
RNAcentral lists this ribosomal RNA (253 nucleotides) under uncultured bacterium. RNAcentral's name for it is "partial 16S ribosomal RNA". It matches the Rfam family "Bacterial small subunit ribosomal RNA", at positions 524 to 776 of the family's 1533-position model. The record is from RNAcentral.